GACGAACGCUGGCGGCGUGCCUAAUACAUGCAAGUAGAACGCACAGGAUGCACCGUAGUUUACUACACCGUAUUCUGUGAGUUGCGAACGGGUGAGUAACGCGUAGGUAACCUGCCUGGUAGCGGGGGAUAACUAUUGGAAACGAUAGCUAAUACCGCAUAAGAACAUUUACUGCAUGGUAGAUGUUUAAAAGGUGCAAGAGCAUCACUACCAGAUGGACCUGCGUUGUAUUAGCUAGUUGGUGAGGUAACGGCUCACCAAGGCAACGAUACAUAGCCGACCUGAGAGGGUGAUCGGCCACACUGGGACUGAGACACGGCCCAGACUCCUACGGGAGGCAGCAGUAGGGAAUCUUCGGCAAUGGGGGGAACCCUGACUGAGCAACGCCGCGUGAGUGAAGAAGGUUUUCGGAUCGUAAAGCUCUGUUGUUAAGGAAGAACGUGUGUGAGAGUGGAAAGUUCACACAGUGACG
Molecule: ribosomal RNA, 472 nt
Filed under: Streptococcus constellatus
Lineage: Bacteria; Bacillati; Bacillota; Bacilli; Lactobacillales; Streptococcaceae
Description: bacterial SSU rRNA
Rfam family: Bacterial small subunit ribosomal RNA
Source: RNAcentral